RNAcentral lists this ribosomal RNA (426 nucleotides) under Rhipicephalus microplus (southern cattle tick). Its description in RNAcentral is "partial 16S ribosomal RNA". The stretch from base 280 to 426 matches the Rfam family "Bacterial large subunit ribosomal RNA", at positions 2473 to 2619 of the family's 2925-position model. Lineage: Eukaryota; Metazoa; Arthropoda; Arachnida; Ixodida; Ixodidae. The record is from RNAcentral.
GGGUAAUUGAUUACAAGGUAUUGAAUAAGGUUUUAAUUGAAUGCUAAAAGAAUGGAAUAUCAAAGAAUAACUUUCUUAAAAUUAAAAAUUGAAAUUUUUUUAAUUUGUGUAAAAACAAUUAUAUAAAUUAAAGACAAGAAGACCCUAAGAAUUUUUAAAAUUUAAAUUAACACAUUUUUGUUUUAAUUAAAUUUUAACUGGGGCGGUUAAAAAAUAUUAAAAACUUUUUAAUUUUGAAAAUGACCCAUUAUUAAUGAAAAUAUGAUAAAAUACUCUAGGGAUAACAGCGUUAUAUUUUUUGAUAGAUCAUAUUGACAAAAAAGUUUGCGACCUCGAUGUUGGAUUAGGAUACUUUUUUAAUGAAGAUAUUAAAAUAAGAAGUUUGUUCAACUUUUAAAUUCCUACAUGAUCUGGUUUUUAGACCGA